AUACUAUAAUCAUAUAUUCCGCAGACAGCAGGUGCCCAAAAAGGCAUAAAUCCUGCCGAGGAAAGCAACGUGCUUUUUGCCUGUGGGAAUACCACAGUUUUUUAUUUCGCUUC
Molecule: non-coding RNA, 113 nt
Organism: Candidatus Wildermuthbacteria bacterium
Lineage: Bacteria; Candidatus Wildermuthiibacteriota
Source: Rfam